This 454-nucleotide ribosomal RNA is filed under the name Escherichia coli. RNAcentral's name for it is "bacterial SSU rRNA". It matches the Rfam family "Bacterial small subunit ribosomal RNA", at positions 343 to 789 of the family's 1533-position model. Lineage: Bacteria; Pseudomonadati; Pseudomonadota; Gammaproteobacteria; Enterobacterales; Enterobacteriaceae. The record is from RNAcentral.
GGGGGGCAGCAGUGGGGAAUAUUGCACAAUGGGCGCAAGCCUGAUGCAGCCAUGCCGCGUGUAUGAAGAAGGCCUUCGGGUUGUAAAGUACUUUCAGCGGGGAGGAAGGGAGUAAAGUUAAUACCUUUGCUCAUUGACGUUACCCGCAGAAGAAGCACCGGCUAACUCCGUGCCAGCAGCCGCGGUAAUACGGAGGGUGCAAGCGUUAAUCGGAAUUACUGGGCGUAAAGCGCACGCAGGCGGUUUGUUAAGUCAGAUGUGAAAUCCCCGGGCUCAACCUGGGAACUGCAUCUGAUACUGGCAAGCUUGAGUCUCGUAGAGGGGGGUAGAAUUCCAGGUGUAGCGGUGAAAUGCGUAGAGAUCUGGAGGAAUACCGGUGGCGAAGGCGGCCCCCUGGACGAAGACUGACGCUCAGGUGCGAAAGCGUGGGGAGCAAACAGGAUUAGAUACCCUG